This 253-nucleotide ribosomal RNA is filed under the name uncultured bacterium. RNAcentral's name for it is "partial 16S ribosomal RNA". It matches the Rfam family "Bacterial small subunit ribosomal RNA", at positions 524 to 776 of the family's 1533-position model. The record is from RNAcentral.
UACGUAGGUGGCAAGCGUUGUCCGGAUUUACUGGGUGUAAAGGGCGUGCAGCCGGGCUGACAAGUCAGAUGUGAAAUCCCGCGGCUCAACCGCGGAACUGCAUUUGAAACUGUCAGUCUUGAGUACCGGAGAGGUCAUCGGAAUUCCUUGUGCAGCGGUGAAAUGCGUAGAUAUAAGGAAGAACACCAGUGGCGAAGGCGGAUGACUGGACGGCAACUGACGGUGAGGCGCGAAAGCGUGGGGAGCAAACAGG